UACGAAGGGGGCUAGCGUUGUUCGGAAUUACUGGGCGUAAAGCGCGCGUAGGCGGCCCGAUAAGUCAGGUGUGAAAUUCCUGGGCUCAACCCUGGAAGUGCAUUUGAUACUGGCUGACUUGAGUCCGGGAGAGGAUGGUGGAACUCCCGGUGUAGAGGUGAAGAUCGUAGAUAUCGGGAGGAACACCGGUGGCGAAGGCGGCUUCCUGGACCGACACUGACACUAAUGUACGAAAGCGUGGGGAGCAAACAGG
This 253-nucleotide ribosomal RNA is filed under the name uncultured bacterium. RNAcentral describes it as "partial 16S ribosomal RNA". It matches the Rfam family "Bacterial small subunit ribosomal RNA", at positions 524 to 776 of the family's 1533-position model. The record is from RNAcentral.